CCUACGGGACGCAGCAGUGGGGAAUAUUGGGCAAUGGAGGAAACUCUGACCCAGCAACGCCGCGUGAAUGAUGAAGGUCUUCGGAUUGUAAAGUUCUUUUCUAAGGGAAGAAGAAAGUGACGGUCCCUUAUGAAUAAGCCUCGGCUAACUACGUGCCAGCAGCCGCGGUAAUACGUAGGAGGCAAGCGUUAUCCGGAAUGACUGGGCGUAAGGGGUGCGAAGGGGGUUUGACGAGGUGUUAGCGUAACUCCGGGGAUCACCCUCGGCACUACUACCAAAACUGUCGGACUUGAGUGCAGGAGGGGCAAAUGGAAUUCCGAGUGUAGCGGUGGAAUGCGUAGAUAUUAGGAGGAACACCAGUGGCGAAGGCGAUUUGCUGGACUGUAACUGACACUGAGGCACGAAAGCGUGGGGAGCAAACAGGAUUAGAUACCCCAGUAGUC
This 443-nucleotide ribosomal RNA is filed under the name uncultured bacterium. Its description in RNAcentral is "partial 16S ribosomal RNA". It matches the Rfam family "Bacterial small subunit ribosomal RNA", at positions 338 to 795 of the family's 1533-position model. The record is from RNAcentral.